GGCACAGAGGAGAGAACAUUCAGGAAUCCUUCGGGAAGGCGGACAGAGAUGUGCGGGGCCUGACAGUGACAUCGCUGGAGGCCGGAAAGAGGGGAGAGUGUGUGGGGCGGAAAAAACACGUAAACAAAUAACGGCCGAAAACUCCCCUAAUUUGGUGAAAGACAUAACUUUGCAGAUUCAAGAAGUUCAGUGGACGCCAAACAGGAUUAACUCAAACAACACCAGGUCCAGACACAUCAUCAGACUGCCGAAAACCAAAGGAAAGAUGCCAGGGAGACGCUGCUCACAAAAGAAGAGUGGAAAAUAGGUUCCAUUCAAGCAGAGCCCGCUGGGUUCUCAUCACCUGGGCAGACAGAGGCCAAAGGGCCAGCAGACACCCUCCCCCCAUUGCCCAGCGGAGGACGAGACACAGACACUUCCUGCAGGGAAGACAGGGACUGUUGGGCGUGGAAGAGCUGUACCUGCCGGGAUGCACAGCCGCAAGCCGGAAUCCUUCCUCAGCGAUGCCGGCUCACCCCCUCCCUCCUGGGAAAGCGAGUCAGCCACGC
Molecule: long non-coding RNA, 548 nt
Organism: Hippopotamus amphibius kiboko
Lineage: Eukaryota; Metazoa; Chordata; Mammalia; Artiodactyla; Hippopotamidae
Exons: 3
Source: RefSeq, a predicted model, not a curated record